This 252-nucleotide ribosomal RNA is filed under the name uncultured bacterium. RNAcentral describes it as "partial 16S ribosomal RNA". It matches the Rfam family "Bacterial small subunit ribosomal RNA", at positions 525 to 776 of the family's 1533-position model. The record is from RNAcentral.
ACAGAGGGUGCAAGCGUUGUUCGGAAUUACUGGGCGUAAAGCGCGUGUAGGCGGCCUUGUUAGUUGGAUGUGAAAGCCCUCGGCUCAACCGAGGAAGUGCAUCCAAUACUGCAAAGCUUGAGUGUCGGAGGGGGUGGCGGAAUUCCUGGUGUAGAGGUGAAAUUCGUAGAUAUCAGGAGGAACACCUGUGGCGAAGGCGGCCACCUGGACGACAACUGACGCUGAGACGCGAAAGCGUGGGUAGCAAACAGG